CGCGCGUCCACGUUCUUUAAAUACCACCUUCCCUGCCGCUCCGGGGUGAGGAUUGGGGCGGAGCGUGUGUGUUGUGGGGUCCGCGGCCGGGAGGGCGCCGCCGGAGAGCGCGAGUACGUGCUGGAGGGAUCCUGCCUAUCUUGAAGCCUUUGCUGCCAGGCAACAGAAUUGUGUGCUACAGAAAUCUAGGAAGAUGAGCUCCUGUAUAUCCAUGAGUGAACCAAAGCUAAACUGGGACAUUUCCCCCAAAAAUGGCCUGAAAACAUUUUUCUCUCGAGAAAACUAUAAAGAACAUUCCAUGGCUCCAACUUUAAAAGAAUUAUGUAUUUUGUCUAACAGACAUAGAGGGGAAAAUUUGAAUGCCUCAGCAAGUUCUGUAGAAAACGAGCCAGCAGUUAGUUCAGCAUCUCAAGCAAAGGAAAAUGUUAAAACCAGAGUUGGAAUGGUUCUUCUUCCAAAACCAAGAGUGCCUUAUCCUCGUUUCUCUCGUUUCUCACAGAGAGAGCAGAGGAGUUAUGUGGACUUGUUGGUUAAAUAUGCAAAGAUUCCUGCAAAUUCCAAAGCUGUUGGAAUAAAUAAAAAUGAAUACUUACAGUACUUGGAUAUGAAAAAACAUGUGAAUGAAGAAGUUUCUGAAUUCCUAAAGUUUUUGCAAAAUUCUGCAAAGAAAUGUGCACAGGAUUAUAAUAUGCUGUCUUACGAUGCCCAUCUCCUCACAGAGCAAAUUUUAAAAGCUUGUGUUGAACAAGUGAAAAAGUAUCCAGAAUUUUAUACUCUUCAUGAAGUCACCAGCUUAAUGGGGUUCUUUCCAUUCAGAACAGAGGAAGGAUUAAAAUUAGAAAAAACGCUUCUUGCACUGGGCAGUGUACAAUUUGUGAAAACAGUAUUCCCCUCGAUGCCUGCAGUAUUGAAGCUCUCAAAAAGUAACAUGCCCCCUUUGGAGACCCCAGGACAAAUGGCUCAAGCUAUGCACUAUGAUAUUAAUAAAGAUCCAAAUGCAGAGAAGCUUGUUUCAAGAUACCAUCCUCAGAUAGCUCUGACCAGCCAGUCACUAUUUACCCUAUUAAAUAAUCAUGGACCAGACUACAAGGAACAAUGGGAAAUUCCAGUCUGUGUUGAAGUUAUACCUGUCGCAGGCUCCAAACCAAUUAAAGUAAUUUAUAUUAAUUCCCCACUUCCUCAGAAGAAACUGACAAUGAGAGACAGAAAUCAACUCUUCCAUGAAAUUCCAUUAAAAUGUAUGAUGUCCAAAAAUACAUCUGUUCCAGUUUCUGCAGUAUUUAUGGACAGACCCGAAGAGUACACAUCUGAAAUGGACACAUCCAGUGAAGUUAAUGAGUACCGAAAAAUUGAGACUCUUGAAAAUUUGGAUCUGGAUUUUGAUGAUGAUGUCACAGAACUUGAAACUUUUGGAGUAACCGCUACAGAACCAUCGAAGUCACCCAGCCCAUCAAGUACUUGCCCAUUACCCAUCGUGACACAUACACUCCCAGCCCCCAAGGUAGCUGCUACCCCUGUGGCACCACCUCUAGGAGAUCCCUCUGCUGAUUCCAGAAGCUUAUCUCGGAUUCUGAUGGAACAGUUACAGAAGGAGAAACAGCUGGUCAUCAGUAUGGAAAGUGGCCCUGAAGAGUGCAGAAAUAAAGAUGAUCAGGGACUUGGACCACAUAGUGAAAAAGUAUCCAGUUCCAACAAGUCUGUGAUGCAGGAUAAUGACUUAAAGACAUCUGAUGCCUUACAGUUGGAAGGUUCUAAGGAAAUUCACAAAUCUGAUGCAAAUGAUGUGGCUACCGAUGUGUUAUGUGCUGAUGAGGAACGGCUGAAUGUCCUAGAGAACAGAGACAGUUCCAAGGAAAAGCCUGCCGCACCAGAAACAGCUGGAACUGAAAGCGUAAUUCCUUGCGGUAGUGACACGGAUGAGGAUUGUUUAAUCAUUGAUACAGAGUGUAAAAACAAUAGUGAUGGAAAGACAGCUGUUUUGGCUUCUGAUUUAAGUUCUAGACCAGCGAGUCCAAAUUCUUCCUCAGGGAAGGGUUCCAUAGGAAGCCAGAGUAGUACUACUCACAAUCCUGAAGAAUUGUGUGUUUUAAAAAAACCUAUCAAACGAGUAUAUACAAAAUUUGAUCCAGUUGGACAAAUUUUAAAAAUGCAGACUGAACUCUUAAAGCCAAUUUCCAGAAAAGAACCUGAAUUGCUCUUAAUGAAUUUAGAAAAUGCUAAGCAGCCACCUGUUUCCGAGCAACCUCCUGCUCCUCUGCAUGCUGCUCGUUGGCCAAAAUCUGGGUGGCCUUCUGCAUUUCAGAAGCCAAAAGGACGAUUGCCAUAUGAACUUCAAGACUAUGUUGAAGAUACAUCAGAAUAUCUAGCUCCUAAAGAAGGAAAUUUUGUCUAUAAGUUGUUCAGCCUGCAAGACCUGUUGUUACUCGUGCGUUGCAGUGUCCAGAGGAUCGAGACAAGACCACGUUCUAAAAAACGGAAGAAAAUCAGAAGACAAUUUCCGGUGUAUGUUCUACCUAAAGUGGAAUAUCAAGCUUGUUACGGAGUGGAAGCUUUGACUGAAAGUGAACUUUGUCGCUUAUGGACUGAAAGUUUAUUGCACUCAAACUGCUCUUUUUAUGUUGGACAUAUUGAUGCAUUUACUUCAAAGCUUUUCCUGCUAGAAGAAAUUACUUCUGAAGAAUUAAAAGAAAAGCUUUCAGCACUCAGGAUUUCAAGUUUAAUCAACGUCCUCCAACACAUUCUGAAAAAAUUAAGUAGCUUGCAGGAGGGGUCCUACCUGUUGUCUCAUGCAGCAGAAGAUUCUUCACUCCUGAUCUACAAGACCUCGGAUGGAAAAGUUACGAGGACAUCGUACAAUCUGCACAAAACACACUGCGACCUCCCCGCUGUGCCUUCCAGUCUCUCAGUCCCCUGGGUCCCCUUGGACCCCAGUCUCCUGCUCCCGUAUCACAUCCAUCAUGGACGGAUACCUUGUACUUUUCCACCGAAAUCUGUGAGUCCUACACUGGCACAAAAGGCUGCUGGAACAAGAAUGCCUACCCGAGGCUGCAGGAAUCCGGUUUCCGUGGAAACCAGAAGCAGUUGUUUGCCUGCUCAGCAAGCUGAAAAUGAAGGAGUGGCUUCAAAUAAAAGAAAAAUAACUUAAGGGCUGUGACAUGGAAAAUGAAAUUUCACAAAAACCAGGUGGAACAGUUGUUUAAUUUUUAAAGUUUUGAGGGGAAGCAUGCCCAGAAGAACGGUUGGCGAGAGGAGCAUUUUUCUUUUUGGUUCCUUUUUGAGUUCAGAGUGCCUUAAAAAAAUGUGUCUGCUGAGAGGAGCACUCACUCACCCGGGUGGUGGGCUCUUCACCUGAAGUCUGAGGAGGAGCUGGGGUGGUUUCACUUUAUCAUGGCAGGGAAAUGAAGAAGAGAAGUAUUUUUAUAGUAAAUUUUCCCUAAAAAUUGUAAGUAGGAAAAUAACUUGUUUUUUUAAAGGAAUAUUUAUCAUUAUGUAUUAUGUCAGUAAUUUGAGUUGUAUCAUAUUCUGUAGAUCAAAAUGUGAAACAGGGCCACUGCCAGCAGUGAUUCUGUGUGUGGUAAACCAUGUCGCUGAGUGUGAGUGUUUUACACUACUGUAAAACAAUGAUGAUUGCACAUUCAUAAAGGUAAUACCCUAAAAACCUUUGAAAUUACAUUUCAAUCAUCAAAAGUAAAAACAAAAUACUUCCUUCCUCUGAAAAGUCACAAAUUAAUAUGUUCAUGUUGGGCAACCUUCCGUUUGUCAGGGAAAAACGUUUGCCGUCGGACAGGUUUGGCAUAGAUCCCUGCCGAGUGUCCCAAUGCCCUGUCACAGAGGCAAGGGUAUCUGAAGAAGUCACCUACUUUUCCAACCAGUGAAGCUGGUGUCGUAGAAAGUAUGAGCUGUAUUUGUCCUUGUCCGUUAAACCAGGUUUUCCAGGGCCAUGGGUUCCACUAACGUUACUGUAGCUCAUUUGGACUCAGGGCACAGACCUGUUUAAUUUUGGUAACCCCAUUUCACGUACACUAAAGCGAUUAGAAAUAUGUGUGUCAGUUGUAAAAUACAAAUUCCAAGGCAAUUUCUGUGUUGUCUUGGGAAUUUUUUCAUGGGCUCUGUGUUAACGUAAGAAAUAAGGCCUAAAAAAAAAUUUCUCAGAUAUAAGUAACCGUUGAAAAUUUUAAUCUGUACCUAUUGAGUUUUGUUUUGAGUUUUUUAGUUGAUUAGAAAAUAUGAAUAAUUAUUAGUACAUAAAGUUUUAUGUAUGUUAAUAUUUCCUUAUCCUGCCAUUCUCAUUUUAGAAUUUUUUUUUUUUUGAACAUUAUCUCCUCCACAUGUCCCAGGAAUGUUUUAGUGGUGAAUCAUUGGCAGCAAGCCACGCACGAGAAGGCAGGGGCUUCCAAGGAAUUGGGCAGUGACUACUUCAGGCUUCUGAGCGCCGAAGAAUACCGUUUGUUUUUUAAGUUCGUUUUCUUUUUUCACCAUUAAUUUUUACACAUCGACAUGUGUGGUCUUGUAAGACAUUAUUUUUACAUUAUCUAAGUUAUACAUUUAAAUAACCCUAACAAUGCGUAUAUCUAGUCUCUCUCUACUUGGGCUUCAUUAAGCCUCUGUUUACAACAUAUAUUUAAUCAUGCCCUAUAUUCUUUUUUUGAUUUUUAGCAUAGAGAACUUAUAAGCAAAAGUAUGGCAUUGACAAUAUUAGCAAAGAUGUUUUAAAAAUAAAAUCAGAGAUGAGCCCACCACGUACACCUCAGUGGUGAAAGUCUAAUUUACAUUAACAUCCUGGAAAGCAGUCUAAUUCAGGAAGUGUCUGAGUAGCCAGGCACUUUGCAAUCUGAAGUAGGUCCUCACUUGUCAGUGUCUCGUAACAUUGUUUUUUCCGACCCCAGAUACUUGUUUAUUUUAUUUCUUUCGUGAAUAGACAGUAAACUCUGGGAGGACAGGUGUAUGUCUGUUUUGCCCGCUAUUCAGUAAUACACACCUAACGUAGUACCUGGCGAGUACCUGCUCCAUAGGCACACCUUGUAUGUAUGAGUAAAUGAGUAUGUUGCUAUGGAAGAUAGAUAUUUUUUCCCUUACAAGCUCACAUUCUACUGGAAGAUACUGCACUGAUCUGUGUGGUAGGUGCUCUGAUAAAGUAAUAGAAGAAAGUCAAGCUGCUUAGAAGGCUGGGGCAGGAAGGGCAUACAUUGAAGGGCAGCCUGGACUACUUAAUGACAUUCCGCCUUUA
Molecule: RNA transcript, 5227 nt
Organism: Fukomys damarensis (Damara mole-rat)
Lineage: Eukaryota; Metazoa; Chordata; Mammalia; Rodentia; Bathyergidae
Gene: Ice2
Gene name: interactor of little elongation complex ELL subunit 2
Exons: 17
Source: RefSeq, a predicted model, not a curated record